GAUGAAGAACGUAGCAAAAUGCGAUACUUGGUGUGAAUUGCAGAAUCCCGUGAACCAUCGAGUUUUUGAACACAAGUUGCACCUGAAGCCUUUUGGCCAAGGGCACGUCUGCCUGGGUGUCACGCAUCGCGUAGCCCCCUGCAAUUCUCCUUAAAGGGAACGUAGCAAAAUGCGAUACGGCUUAAUUUGGCCAAGGGCAGAUAUUGGUCUCCCGUGCUCAUGGCGUGGUUGGCCGAAAUAGGAGUCCCAUCGAUGGACACACGAACUAGUGGUGGUCGUAAAAACCCUCAUCUUUUGCUUCGUGCUGUUAGUCGCAAGGGAAACUCAUAGAACACCCCAACGUGUCGUCUCUUGACGACGCUUCGACCGCGACCCCAGGUCAGGUGGGACUACCCGCUGAGUUUAAGCAUAUCAAUAAGCGGAGGA
This 426-nucleotide unclassified non-coding RNA is filed under the name soil metagenome. RNAcentral's name for it is "partial contains 5.8S ribosomal RNA, internal transcribed spacer 2, and large subunit ribosomal RNA". The stretch from base 1 to 122 matches the Rfam family "5.8S ribosomal RNA", at positions 35 to 154 of the family's 154-position model. The record is from RNAcentral.